Lynx canadensis (Canada lynx) is the source of this 2877-nucleotide RNA transcript. It is a transcript of the gene named aprataxin, with no coding region annotated. The record is from RefSeq and is a predicted model, not a curated record. The transcript is spliced from 9 exons. Lineage: Eukaryota; Metazoa; Chordata; Mammalia; Carnivora; Felidae.
GCCGGAAGUGGCGCGUCCCGGAAGAGAAACGUGAGGUUGUCUGUGUCCGCUGUUUAGAGAGUAAUGAUGCGGGUGUGCUGGUUGGUGAGACAGGAUAGCCGGCACCAGCGAAUCAGACUUCCACAUUUGGAGGCAGUGGUGGUUGGGCGUGGCCCAGAGACCAAGAUCAUUGACAAGAAAUGUUCUCGACAGCAAGUACAGUUGAAAGCAGAGUGUAACAAAGGAUAUGUCAAGGUAAAGCAGAGUUUGAGGAAGAGGCAGAGAGCCCUGGCCUGGAAACACACAGGAAGAGAAAGAGGUCAGGCAACAAUGAUUCUAUAGAAAGGGGUGCUGCCCAGGAAGCUGACUCCCAUACAGGACUGGAACCUGGGAGUGACCCUGGCCAAUGCUCUGUGCCCUCAAAGAAGGAGAAAGAUGCGUCUACCAAAAAGGAAUCAUUGGGCCACUGGAGUCAAGGCUUAAAAAUUUCUAUGCAGGAUCCCAAAAUGCAGGUUUACAAAGAUGAGCAGGUAGUGGUGAUUAAGGAUAAAUACCCCAAGGCUCGUCACCACUGGCUGGUCUUACCAUGGGCUUCCAUUUCCAGUCUGAAGGCUGUGACCAGGGAACAUCUUGAGCUCCUUAAACACAUGCACACUGUGGGGGAAAAGAUGAUUACAGAUUUUGCUGGGUCCAGCAAACUCCGCUUCCGAUUGGGUUACCAUGCCAUUCCCAGCAUGAGCCAUGUACAUCUUCAUGUGAUCAGCCAGGAUUUUGAUUCUCCUUGCCUCAAAAACAAAAAACAUUGGAAUUCUUUCAAUACAGAAUACUUCAUAGAAUCACAAGCUGUGAUAGAGAUGGUACAGACCGCUGGCAGAGUGAGUGUCCGAGAUGGGAUGCCUGAGCUCUUGAAGCUGCCCCUCCGUUGUCACGAGUGCCAGCAGCUGCUGCCUUCCAUUCCUCAGCUGAAAGAGCAUCUCAGGAGACACUGGCCAAAGUGAUUCUGUGGAGCCUGAACUUUUGCAGCAGGAUAAGGGGAACUCCUUCCUAUAUAAAUCCAACUCCUCACCUUGACCACAAGUCCAAGAUGGAAGCAUCUGUGUUCUGGGCAGGAGGAUGGAAGAGAAGGUGAAGAAGGGGAUCAAGGAUUCACACAUACUCUUUGAGGAAGUUUCCUGGAAUCUCCUCCAUGAUUCUUCUUUUUGUAUUACCAUGGCCAGAAUUCAGCCACAAGCCAAAGGUGACCAAGCUUUAAGGGCAGCUGUGAGAUAUAACCUUUAUUUUUGGCAAAUCCAUGCUCAACUAAAAUUUUUAUUAUUACAGAAGCAGCAUAGAAUGUAAAUUAGAGACAUUGAACAGUGUCUACCAGUAUUCCUUUGCACAUGAAAAAAAAUUAAGUUCCCUCACUCUUUUUUCUUAUUUUUUACUUAUAUUGCAAAUAUUUUGCAAAUAUUACCUUUUAAUUUUAUAAUCUUUAAUUUUUUUAUGUUCUCAUCAUACAGAAGAGGGAACAUGAAGGGGGGAGAAGGGCAGAGGCAGAGAGAGGAAAUCCCCAGCAGGCUCCAUGCUCAGCACAGAGCCCAAUGUGGGCUUGAUGCGGAACUUGAUCCCAUGACCCUGGGACCAUGACCCAAGCCAAAAUCAAGAGUGGGACCCUCAACCGACUGAGCCACCCAGGUACCCCAGGCAUUCCGUUUUAUAAAACUAAUUUCUUGUUUCUGGAUUUUAUAUUUUGCUUAAGUAGGCCUUCCUUAUCCAUAUGUUCUCAUAUUUUCUUUUGGUAGUUUUAUACUUUUGUUUUUUUUUUUUACUUUAGAUCUUCAUUAUAUGUGGUAUUUAAAUUUUGGUAGUGUGACAUAGGGAUCCAUCUUUAUUUUUUCAAUUUUUAUCUAACUCCAACUCGUUUUAAACUAGCCUUCAUUCUCAUUCAUUUGAAAUGCCACAUUUAUGGUGAACUAAAUUUUAAUACAUACACAAGUCUGUUAUGGGCUCCCUAUUUCAGUUAUAUUGAGCUAUUACUAAACUCUCAAUUUUUGUUACCAUGGUUUUGUAGAAUUUCUUUAUUCUUCACUCUUUUUCUUCUUUUCCUCCCCACUCCUCCUCCUUUCUCUACUCUUACUUUCAUUUCACCUAGCUGAGCUUGUAGGACACUCCUAUGAGGGUGAGACAAACUGGUACAAGCUUCCACCUCUGUUUUCUUCACUGUAGAAUCUUUGUGCCUCUUGUACUCAGCACCUUUGCGUUUCUUUGCUGCCUAAUGUCACCUUUCUGGGUCUUGCAUUGUGUGAGAUGCUGCCAUUGGAUGGAUUGCUGCUUAUAAUUGACUUGUUCUUUGUGCUUCAUCCUUUUGAUCCUUUGUGUGUGUAUAAAAUCUAUUUAUUUUUAUGACUAUAUUUAAACAUUUUCCCUAAGUUCUCUGAAGAUGUAAAAUCAAUUGUUGACAUCAAUACAUGUGAAUCCACCUCUUUAUUUCCUUUUAUUUAUCUUUUUUGACUGCCUGACUGGUUUCUUCAGGAAGGAUGAAAUUGUUUUCUGAGUCAAUGAGCUGCUAAAUCUCAGAAUCAGGUAGCACAUGAAUGUUGCAUGGUGCUCAGUGGUUUAUACGGCCUUGGAAACAAUUUGCUACCUAAAGUUCUGGUGAACUUGUCCUGGAUGCAGAUAAUAAGGGAGUGCUUGUGGGUGGUUCAGCAGAAUGAGAAAUAGGCACACCUCUCCCUAGAGCUUUAUCUCUCUAGACUCUUUGGGCCACUUUUCUGCUAUCCACUUUGACUUUCUCUAUGGUCAUGGCCUGUCUGAUCAGUGUUCUUCUUUAACAUUUUAUUGUCUUGUCUACAGUUUCUUUUCCAGAUGAAUUUCCUAUUCAACUUGUCAGAAUCUAAUAAAAAAGUCUCACAAUUUUGA